RNAcentral lists this long non-coding RNA (17722 nucleotides) under Malus domestica (apple). RNAcentral describes it as "long non-coding RNA (MDOM_LNC004070)". The record is from RNAcentral. Lineage: Eukaryota; Viridiplantae; Streptophyta; Magnoliopsida; Rosales; Rosaceae.
UGGCUAGCUCUGCAGUGAUCAAGCUUGCUUUGGUGGUGGCCUUGUGCAUGGCGGUGAGCGUUGCUCAUGCCAUAACAUGUGGCCAGGUGAGCUCCAACCUUGUACCAUGCUUUGACUACGUGAGGAGUGGCGGACCUGUCCCUCCAGCUUGCUGCAAUGGAAUCAGAACCAUUAACGGCUUGGCCAAGACCACCCCUGACCGCCAGGCUGCUUGCAACUGCCUGAAGAGUCUUGCCGGCAGCGUCAGUGGUGUUAACCCUGGCAAUGCCGAAUCGCUUCCUGGAAAGUGUGGAGUCAACGUCCCCUACAAGAUCAGCACCUCCACCAACUGCGCCACGUAAGUAUCACAAAACCCAAACUACCGUUGGAUCAAAAUUAACUGUUUGACAGUAUCUCAAAGAACCCUUAUUCCCGUUUGAUCUAACGGUUGAAUUCCAUAACCUAAAUAAAUGCAUACCUCGUUAGUAAUUGUUUUUGUUUGGGCUGAUGUUUCUUCCUCAAGAACAACGAUAUAAUUUAUUGACUUCUGUGUGUGUUCUUUUUUUUUUUUUUUUUUGGGUAUGAAUGCAGCGUGAAGUAAGCUUGAAGGGAGAUGAUCAUUUUCGGCGGCAGAUAAUUAUAAUAGAGUGAAAAUAAAACGUGGUUGUGCGAUCCGGCCACAAUCCUCAUGAGGGAAUCGUUUAAGUUAUUCUAUACUACUUCUGUAUCAUCCCUAUAUAUCCAUGUAGAAUUAAUUAAUAAUAUAUUAAGUAUAAGUAAAGUUCUCCUCUUUUGCUCUAUAUUCCUUUUUAAUUACUUAAAUUCCUCUUCCUCCCACAAGAAACUAAACAAAAAUGGAACGGAAAGAGAUACGAAGAAAAAAGGAAGCAAAACAAGCAUGAUCAACCGCUGGAUUGAAUUCACUAAUGACUGUUAACAUUAAAGACUUGUGAUGUGGUUGAGAUUACUGCAUUUUUCGCUAAUAAAAAAUGGAGUGAAAAAUCUAAAUCUCCAGGUUUUUUAUUUUGAAAGCCAAUAGAUUAAAAGCUCCUGGUUGUUGAGCCUGCUAUUGUUAGUAAAAUUUGUGAUAUUAAUUAUGAUGUCCAUAGUUGAGAAAAAUGAUGAAUUAAUUUGGGUUGGGAUUUUCUCUGCCAUGAGCUACUUGGUUACAAACUAAUUAUGCUAUGAUACUCGAGCUCAUUUUAGAGCUACUGUUCCAAAUAAAGUGCCGAGACUUAAAGGGUGAACCGAAAACCGUACAGAAGAGUAACUUUGGUUUGGUUUUCUCAAUUCGUAAAGGGUAAACCAAAGUAACUAAAUUCAAUCUUUAAAUUUUGGUUUGGUCCAGUUCGAUUUCGAUUUUUUUUUUUUAAAUUUGAAAUUGGAAAGAAUUGAAGGAAAAAAAACUUGAGGUUGGGGAAGAUAGAUAACCCGAUUUCAAGAUCCACAAAUAACAAUCAAUUCAUAAAAUUAGAUAUUAAGAGUCUAAGCACUCAAUGAACCACAAAAAAAGAUAAUUCACAAUCUAACAUUACGAUCGUAAAAUAAGUAUUCCACUAAACAAAAUAAAAAGUUUUUAAAGCAUGGAAGCUAUUACAAAUCAAGCUUCAACUCUACAAUACUUCAACUUCAAAAGUUCUAACAUCUAACCAUUGUGAGCUCUAAUGAGAGUUUGCAUAUGCAGGGGGAACAACAUUAGGAUUAAGUGUAAAAUGAUGUAGUUUUGCUUAUUUUGGUUCGGUUUUUUAUCCAAUAAGAACCUAAAAUUGAAUCAAUAAAUUUCAGUUUGGUUUCUUCAACUUUCUUUUUUUUUUUCUAAUUAAUUUUUUUUUUCUUUCAGUUUUCAAUUUUCUAAACCCCUAAUGAUUAGGCCCUUAAAAAUUCAAAAUAUCACUCACCAUCAUCUUGUUUGUGGGUCGUGGACUUGUCCGAUUGGGCCCUAUUGCGCCAUGUACCUUCUACAAAUGUUGUUCACUUGUGUACUGUUUGGUACGCUGAUGGGACGGGACAGAACGAAGGUUCUGUGUUAUUUUUGGUACGCCCAUGACGGAAUGGGAUAGUUGUUCCAUUCUGCGUUUGGUAUGCGCUGGACGGAACGAAAUCAAAAGAUUGAAUGACUAAUUUAUUGUUCCAUUAUAGUUUUACCAUGCAUUUUUUAUCAUCUGGGUCCUCCCUCUGCAAUCUGUUUCAAGAUGGUUAUCUCAUCCAUGGCCGCCUCAGGUAGCGGUCAGCACUCUUUUGCACUUUCAGAGCAACAAAUCUCUGGCAUUUUUGUGCAAUUCAACACACACCCAACAAAAACAAGACACAUUUGUCAUUAAUCCUCCAUUAGUUUACUUAAAACCAAGGUCUAAAAUAUUGAUAUUAUCCCGAUAUUUCCAUCUAAAUUUCCGUGUUUUUGGACUACCGAUAUUUCCGAUAUUAUCGAUAUUUUAGACCUUGAUAGGAACUCUAUGUGGUACUAAGUCACUCAUGUAUCUGACCAUGCAAUGUAUAAAGUGUAAAAUAUUGUACUAAUUCAUUAUAUAUAAAUGAUUAUAGUGCGUUUAAACUUCUUUCAUUAAUUACUACAUAUUUUCUACACUCAUAAUGUUUGUCAGCUCGCUAUAUAAUCAAAUUAAAUCAGUUAAAUCCAUCAUGAAAUACAUUUCCUUUCGAUUUUUUGUGAUAAACUAAUAGAUAAUUGACUAAAUAAACAUCCUACAAAGUUUCAAUAAAAAUUUCCAAUUUUUCUUACAAUUUCCGUGGUUUUUAUUCAAUUUUUAUUGAUAUCGAUAAUAUCCCGAUAUUUCCAUCGAAAUUUCCAUGUUUUUGGACUACCGAUAUUUUCGAUAUCAUCGAUAUUUUAGACCUUGCUUAAAACUAAGCAUGUCAAAGAUAAAAAAAAACCAAGAACAAGAUUAAAAUUUCAAUUACUUUCCCCUACAUUCUCAAAAGACUAAUAUCUACAAACUCAGAUCAAAAAGCAAUAAAAUGCAGUGUUGUAAAAAGAGAAGAGAGAGGGAGAGAGGAGUAUAGAGUGUUGGGUGUCCCAGGCGAGCCAGACGGUGGAGAAAUGGCCCCAGCCGAGCUUGGUCUGAACGACAUACCGUCCGCUCUUGAAAGUGUCACUGAUUCGGACGGCGUGGUAGCCGUCGCGCCGGUAGUCCUCCGUGCCUUUGUCCUCCGACGUGUAGUUGCUACUCUGACUCCGAUUGAAAUUUUCCAUGGAAAAAUCAAGAAAACGAACCUGGAGAUGCAGCAGCUACGGGAGAAGAUCGAGAUUGAACCUGGAGAUACAGCGGCUACGAGAGAGGAUGAGGAGGAAGAUUACGGGAAAAGGUAGCGGCAUGUAGAGAAGAUAGAACAAAGAAGAAAGAGUUUUAGGGUUUGUUUGUUUUUUUAUGGUGUAAAUAUUGAAAAACAUGAGGGGUAUUUUUGUCUUAAAAUGUUAUAAUUUUGUGUUCCACGGAUGUGGAACUAGUCGUUCCAAGGAGGGUGAGGCGGAACCAAAAUUCACCCAAAACUCGUCCCCUGGAACAACACGUUCCACCCGUUUUAGGCUCAUCAAACAUGGAACGGAACGCCUUUCAUCACUGCGUUUCGUCCCGUCCCGUCCUACGUACCAAAGGUAUCGUUUGGUAUGCAGACAAGAUGGGACGGAACGGAGAGGGAGCAAAGAUGCCCUUGGAUGGAAACAAUGAGGAAAAAGAAGGAGACGGAAGGGUUAUGAUUUUAUGUUCCACAGAUGUGGAACGAGUUGUUCCAGGGGGUGAGGCGGAAUGAAAAUUCACCCAAAAUUCGUCCCGUGAAACAGAUCGUUCCACCCGUUUUAGGCACACCAAAUGUGGGACGGAAUACCUCGUCCCAGUACGUUCCGUCCCGUCCCAGACACCAAACGGUACCUUGGGUAUAUAACCUAAAACAUUGUUAUUGACGUAUUUGGUGAAGCCUUUUUUGGAUGCGUUGUUUUGCUGUCGUCUAGUCUGCUGCAUGCACGCAAAAAUAGUCUUUUAAGUGAGUGUCGUCUCAUGGAAGAUUUUUCACAUCACCUAGAAAUUUUGAGAAAGUGGCCUUUCUCCUACCUUAUGUACAUUCUUAUAAAAAAAAAUAAUAAUAAGGAAAUAUGUCAAUUUCACCAAAAAAAAAAAAAGGCCUUACCCUACUUCGCAAAAAUCAUAAUUUUGCUUUCUGAUGGUUAUGGACAAGACCAAGUAUAUAUAUUACUCUCUCAUGGUAAUGAAUAAGAUUAACUGGACCAACUGAAUCUGUUGAUCACAUGCCAAAGCUCAAGCAGAGCCAUCUUUGGCCUUCGUCCUAAUUUUAUAAAAGGACCCUCCUAUGGUAGUUUUUCAUGAUUUUUUUUGUGUGAAGGUAUUCAUGCCAAAUUCAAUAAACAAUCAAAAUUCUAACUUAAUUGAAGUUAGUAUCUCAUUCCAACUAAUUCAAUAAUCUAACAAAAGAUUUUUCUUGCUUCAAUUGCUAUGAAAUUACAAUUUUGUGAAGAAAAAAAAGUACGACUAAGAGAGAGAGAGAGAGAUAGGGGAAGACGCUUUUGUGUGUAGCAGAAAGUAUUACACAAAUUAACUAUUUUUAUUGUUUUAUUACUAGAGAAAAGUGAAAGGUUAUAUAAUAGGGUGGUGCUAACGAUACUGAUUUUUACUUUUUACACAUCAUUUUCAAUUUUCGAUCAUCGGAUCGAAUGGAUUGAAGAAGAUUAAUUGACAAAAAAUAAUAAGAGUGUGGAAAGUAAAAAGAAGCGUGUGACUAAUACUCCCCUAUUAGUGCUCACUUAGUCCAUUGUAAUAUGUACUGACAAGAAAAGAAAGGAGUGCACUUUUGCUAAUCUCAAAUUACACGAAACUCAUUACGUAUGUAGGUAGUAAUUUCCACUAUGAGUUAGACGUGUAAAAGAACAAAAGAGGUGCAAAAAUCAGUUUUAUCAUGUAAUAUGUGAAAGUGAUGAACCUUCCAAAUAAAAAGUUAUGUGAUCAUAUCUGUAAUCUGUAAUCUCUAUAAAUGCGAUUUACCAAUAUUAGCCAACUAUUUUUUUCUGGAUACAGUUACUCAAAACAGGUUCACUGCCUUACCGAUGAAACCAUUUAAGCUCUCAACCAUUACAACCCAAAAUUGUGAUAAGAUAAGAAAUGAAAUCAAAGCAUCGAACCCACCUUAACCACCAAAUUAAGUGAUUACAGUUGGCUCUUUCAUUCAUCUAGCUUCUUCACUCUAUAUAACCACCGUAUCUCAGCUCGAACUAAACAUCUUAACUCAGAAGAAAAACUGUUGUGUGUUCAUAGUAAUAUUAUAUGGCAAACAUUGGUGUACCAAUGAAGGUAGGAGUUUGUGUGUUGCUCCCGUGCAUGGUGAUGGGUGCACCUUUAGACCAGGCCAUAACAUGUAGCGAUGUGACUGAAGCCAUGAUCCCCUGCAUAAGCUACCUUACGGGCAAACCUUGAUAGGAAAAAUCCUAGUCGAAGGAAAAAGAGUACAACAUGCAUGUAUCAUGGAUGCUCCUCCUGAUAUGUAUCACCCAUCAAUUCCACAUUCUUCAAAUUUAACUAAUUGGUAAGUCGACGUUAUCCGAUACCAUGCACUAGCUUAUGAAAAUGUGCACUUUGGUAGAGAUUUGAUGAAUAGGUCUGCCAAAAUUUCAUUGGAACGGAUUUGUCUAACUUUAAUAACUUUAGCAUUUUAAAACUUAUGUGCAUUGAAAAGCUUUGGAGAUAUGUGUUUAGUCUUAUCACCCUUGAUGAAUCCUUCCUUCAUUUGGGCAACACAUGCUGCAUUAUCUUCAUGAAUGACAGUUGGAGUGUCUGUCUUUGAAAGUAAACCACAUGAAUUCCGGCUAUGAUGGAUCAUUGAUCUUAACCAAGAACAUUCACGACUUGCUUCAUGUAAAGCAAUUAUUUUCGAGUGAUUGGAAGAUGUAGCAACUAAUGUUUGCUUUGUUGAGCGCCAUGAAAUUGUUGUAUCGUCUUUAGUGAACACAUACCAGUUUGUGGGCGGGCUUUAUGCGGAUUAGAGAGAAAACCAACAUCUGCAUAUCAAACAAGGAUAUGGUCAUUUGUGGAUUUCUCUGAGUAGAAGAGACCUAUGUCUGUUGUCCCACGAAGGUAUCUUAAAACAUUUUUGACUCCCUUCCAAUGACGAAUUGUUGGAGCAGAGCUAUACCUUGCUAACAAGUUGGUUGAAAAAGUUAUAUAUGUUCUAGUACAUUGUGCUAAAUACAAUAAAGCACCUAUUGCACUUAGAUAUGGUACUUCUGGACCAAGGACCAUUUCAUCAUCUUCUUUUGGACGGGAUAGAUCUCUCUUAAUGUCCAGAGAAUGAACAACCAUUGGCGUACUGAGUGGAUAAGCCUUAUCCAUGCCAAAAUGCUUCAUGAUUUUUUCAAUGUAAGCUGAUUGAUGGACCAAAAUUCCAUUAGCACAUUGCUUGAUCUGCAGGCCGAGACGAUAUUUUAUUUUUCCAAGGUCUUUCAUUUCAAAUUCGCUUUUCAAAUAUUCAGUAGUUCUAUUAAGCUCUUCAGGGGUUCCAGCUAAGUUCAUAUCAUCAACAUAUACUGCCACUAUAGCAAAUCCAAAAUUUGGUUUCUUAAUGAACACACAAGGGCAAAUGACAUUGUUGGUAUAUCCCUCUUUGAUCAAAUACACACAAAGAUGAUUGUACACAUCGAAAUUUCGAAUGUCCUCACUUCAAGGCGCGUCGUAUACAUGUGUUUGUCACGUGUAGAAGAUGCGUUUUAAAGUCCCUUAAUGUAGACUUCCCUCAACCUCAGUCAAUUACCACCAUCAAUAGACUUCCCUCAGCCUCAAGAACAAAGCCUAUGUAUUGGUUGAGGCGUCGAAGUUCGUUUUGAGGUCAAAUUAAGAACACCAAUUUCAAUGGUUUCCGACGGAUCGAUGGUGUUUUUAGGUGUUUUCCGGCUGAAUUAGCCUUCAGCCUAGGUAUAAAAGUUCUUCCCCUUGUUGUGAUCUACAUUUCUGUAAAAUUUGGUAAUUUUUGGAGUUAGGCAAAAAAUUUCUGCGAGUUUGGGCGGUCGGCCGUUGCGUGCGUGGGCCGAGACCCAACCUGCCCUUCCUAGACUAAUUUGGAUACCCUGAUUGCAUAUGUGAUGUCCGAUUGACAAAAUCUCAUCAUAUGACUAUAGUUUUGAUGGAGACCGCCACUUGGCCACUACAUAAAUCGAUGAUCCAAUAGUUGGAUCAUCACCAAACUUUAAUAUGUAAUAGUGCGUAAUAUUUGAGGACAAUAGGAAAUUACCAAUCGGGAAACUGACUUACGGAUCUUCCCGAAUUGGAUUUCUAAGUUUGUAAAAUCAAACAUUUACCGCCACUUAAUCUUAGCAAUUGGUGGAGAUCCAACCGAUGGAUCGUAAUGAAAUUUUAGUAUGUUGUUCUAGAAAAGUAGUGAGACUCUUGGAAAGUUACGGGUCAAAAAUCUGAUUGGCGGAUCUUUCGGUUUAGAUUUAUAAGGUUGCGGACCCUACUCUUGACCUUGAUCGACGGUUGGCUUUUUAGUCAACUAGCCCGAGUUCUUCUAGCGUGUUGGUUAUCUUAGAGUGUGGUUGAGAUUUCACAGAGCUUGAUGGGCUCAUCGUGAUGAUGUGUCUUCCUCGACUGACGUGCACCUCGAUUUAUGUAAUGAUGGCAUCACAUUGUGUUAUGCUUGUUUAUUUAUGUGAUUUGACUUGUGUAUUGAACUUGUUGUGAAGUGUGGCUGAUUUGUGUGUUUGGCCUAAUGUGAUGAAAUGUGAGGGCUAGGAGUGGACCAUAAACCCAUUGUCAUGGGGUUUGUUGCUUCGAGACUUGUUUCACAUAUCGUAUCAUUAUUUCAUUUCUCAUUUCAUUGAGCCGUUCUAAUUGUGUACCUUGUGCUUUGUUCAAUUUCUAGUUUCGUUGAGUUUUUGUAUUUUGAGUACUUGUUUCAUGUCUUGUUCUUCGAGCGUUGCUAUAUUCCUUGAACUUUGGCUCAGUUCUGUUGAGUGAUUCGAAACUGGGUUUCCAUUGGGGUUCCGUUGAGUGGUCUGGUUCCCUGCUCCGUCUGGAUUUCAAUAAGUGGUCCGGAAUCCCUCGUGAUUCGCGAUUCCGUUAAGUGGUCCGGAAUUGUAUCCAGCUUAGAUUUAAGUGAGUUGUUCAAUAUGCAUUGUACUCCGCAAUUUCGUUGAGUAGUCCGGAAUCGUAUCCACUUAGAUUCCAUUGAGAAGUCUGAAAUCCCUUCUAUUCCGCGAUUCCGUUGAGUGAUCUGGAAUCGUAUCCUGGUUUGGAUUCCGUUGAGUGGUCUAGAAUCCCCUUUGGUGUUUUGGUUCCAUUAAGUGGUUCGCAACCCAAUGUUGAUGGAUUUUGUUGAGUGGUCCGAAAUCGCAUCAUUUGAAUUGUUGGUUCCUUGGAUUUGAUUUCAGCUUCAGAGAUGUAGGCUUCGGUCGAACUGUGUCUCUCUAGCCCUGCAUUUCGGUGUAUGGUAUGUGUGAUUGAUUGAUAUGAUUGUGGAAUAAUGUUGGUUGUGAUUGUUGUCAUUAUGAUUAGACUCAUUGACCAAUAUGGCUAGAGAUUUACGUUGCGCUUCAUCGAAUGUUCCUCGUGAUGUUGCAUGCCUGUUGUGUGGUAUUAUGUUGAGACAUAAUGAUUUAUGUGAUGAUUGUUCGAGUGUAGUGAAGGGUGAACUAUGAAUGGCUUGAUCCCUAUUGAGGGUACGUAGGCAGUCUAACGGGGAGAUUAGACGCAACCAUAAAGUACACGAAAACUACUAUGCAAUUCGAAUCUUGAGUUGUGCAUUGUUCAUAUCCUGAAGGCAGGGUAUGUUAGAUAUACGGGUAUUUGGUGAUGUCACGUGUCGAUCCUAGACGUAUGUCGGGAUUGAGGUGUGACAAUUAUUAUCAAGUCUUCAUCAAUAUUAGCUAAAGCAUGUGGGCAUAUAUUUCCACAAUUUUUACAACAUAUGGAGAUAUGUUUACGGUGCCGUAAAAUUUGUUUUUUCUUCAGCCAACUGGGAAGACAUUAUACAAGGUUAAUAUUUUGUAAUUACCUAGUUUUAUCAUUAAAGACAUAUAUAUAGUGAAGAUCUACCAUGAUUGUUUUUUCAUUGUUUCAAUCAAGGGUGACAUUUUUGUGAAGUACACAAUAACUGGUCAUGAAAUUAAAUAUAUACUAAAAGAGAAACAUAACUAAUUUACUGUUCAUAAGCACAGUAUGCUUCCUAUUUUGUCCUAACUAAAUUUGCUUUAUUACGUUUCUGCCACUGUCUGAGAAGUUCUUUGAUAGUGUUAUUCCUUUUUUGCCCCUUUAUUGUUUCUUUGGUCACUGUUUAACUACAGUGUACUCCCGCUUUUAUCCCUGCUUUAGUCUUUGGCCUUUUAGGCUGUGUUUGUUUGACCUUCUUAGGGGUCAUUGGACUAGACUAGAUUAAUUGUUUGUCCAGUCUUAUGUUUGUUGUCCACACUGGACUAGUUUUAAUGGGACUAACAGGGACUCAGCCCGACUGAAUGCUUCACUAAACGUUCUUAGCGAGACCCCUCAAUUUCAAGUGAACUGCUAGUCUCGUUCUCUCCCCCGUUGUUGAUCCCUCGACGUUUCCCUUCUCCUUCACUGCUUCGCCCUCUCCCUUAUCCUUCGCACCUUCGCCAUUCCCUUCUCCUUCGCACCUUCGUCCACUCCCUUGGGCCUUUACUAUCCCACCCAAAAGCCUAAACCCAGACCUUAAACAAAAACUGAAAAAAAUCCAUUGAUUCCCUUCCUUUCUUCUUCGUUCAAGUCACACUCUCCUUCUCUCUCAGCAAAAUUACCAUGGUUGCAACCACCAGACCACCACUAGACAACCAUCACCAGAAGCUCGUCGUUGAUCUCCGCGUUCACGCGUGACCCAGAUGCAAGUCGGGACCGAAAGCGUACCAAAUGCUCAAGCAUCUACGAAUCCCCACACAAAUUCAAAAAAAAAAGGCAAAAUCACUACAUAACCCUGGGAUUUUCCAAGAAAUUCAGAGGAGGUGCUGGGUGGAGAUCUCCGAUGAAUCCUCCGUGUGAAUCUUCUGCAUAAGGAAAAGAGGGAAAGGUUAAGGAUAAGCGGACGGAGGAAAAAAAGGGAGAGGGGGGAGACAGUAGCCGAAAGAAAAUAGGGAGAAGUAUGGAAAGAGAGGAAGAAUAUUUUGGAAAAAUGGUGAAACAAAAUAAAAAGAGGGAGAUGAGAGGGAGAAUGGCGGAGGAAAAGAUGAAUGGGCUAUAGAGAGAUAAUUUUAGGAAAAAAUAAAAAAAGAUAUUGACCUUUACGGAAGGAUAUAUGAUUCUAGAAACAAAUAAAAUGAUAAAUUAAUAAUAAAAUAUUAAUAAAUAUAGAUAAAAUAAUAUAAUAUUUGAGUUAGAUAAUUAUCCAGCUUCUUAGUCCGACAUUGCACCAAACGCUUCACUCUAGUCCACCUUAAUCUAGUCUAAGCCAGUCUAGCUUAGUCUUGAAGUUAGGACAAUCCGAGAUAGUCCGGUGCAACAACGCACCCUUAUUUCAUUUCUGAAUUCUUCCUUCCCACACUGUUUUAGUAUCUCGACCCAUCUGUUCUCUAGAUGCUUCCCCACCGUUUCAGACUCUCGACCCACCUUUCCUCUGCCCGGCUCCUGCUUUCCCCGUCUCCCUCCUCACCUCAUCUCCCAAUUUCCCAACUUAUUUUCGAUUUACACUUAAAUCUCAUAUGAAUCUCCUUGGUCUCACCUAUCCUCUGAACCCAAAAAAGAUUUAGCCUUCCGACGACUCUGGCUGCCAUAAUCAAUCUUGGUUGUUGGCCGACAACCGGACUGCAACAUCGUCUUGUCUCACUCCAGCAUUAGCAUAUUCCAGCUUCAAACCCUCUCUGACCCUUUUUGCCAAAAUCGUUCUCACCGAUUUGUCAUCAGGUAAGAUCCUGGAGUUUUUAUUUGGCAUCCCAAACCUCAUCUCUCUUGCCACUAUUCCUCAAAACUUUCAUAUCGGUACAUCAACUCAACUUUCAUUUAUUUCAACAGCUCAACUCUCUUUCUAUUUGAAACCUAAAGAUUGAUUAUUUUCCUUUUUUUCUCUGUUUUUAUUUUCCAGGGAAAAACACCAUCUUUGCCGAAAAAGUUUGAAUUUUUCUCGGGAAUUCUCACCCAUCCCUAAGAUUUUCUUUGUGGGUUUUGGUUCUCAGGUUGCGAAUUUUUCUUGGUGGCGAUGAUCGGUGUUCGUUGUUGUGUGGAUGAUCCCAGUGGAGCUUUGGUUUUCAGCUUUGGUGAUUUCUGCGUGGAUUUUUUGGGAUAUGGUUUGGGCUUCUGGGUAAGCAACUGUCACUCUAUUCAACUUAAAUUUAGUUCACUUUUUUUUUUCCUCAAUAAUUUGUUUGAUGGCAUGAUUGUUUGAUCCUUUACUAAAUAGUCAUCAAGAAAUGUAGGAAUUUUUAGUAGUUUUGAUUUCUUUUCAAUUUUUAUUUUAUUUUAUUUUCAAGCCCUGAGUUUUGUAAGAACCGUCUACCCUGUGCAUACACUAGAUACUCCUAACAUUUCAAAUAAACUACCAGUGAGUUCUAUAACUUUACUAAUAUUUAUUUACAAUGCAAGUUAAAUUGUUGGUUUUCUGUUUGUCAAUGUGUUAGCUUUUCUACUCUCUACCUUGCAUUAGAGGUUGCCAUGUCAGGUGAGUUCAAGUUCUACUUGGUACACAAGGGUUGUUUUUAGCUAAGUCUCAAAUUUGUGUGCUCUUCAUCAUGGCUUUUAUUUUGGUGGCAGUUAGGUGUCAUUAAUAUGAAGUGUAAGCUGGUUGAUCCAGAUGGUCUACUAAAUAAGCUAAGGGUAUUGAAAUCAGUUAAUGUAGAUGGCGUUUAUGAUUGAUUGCUGGUGGGGAAUAGUAGAGGGACAUGAUCCACAGAAGUAUAAUUGGAAUGGAUACAAUAGGCUCUUUCAGAUGGUGUGUGAGCUUAGAAUAAAGUGACAUGUCUGUUUUAUAUAAAUUCGUUUUUUCAAUUGUAGAAGUUUUUUCCUCUCAAUGGGCAUAUAAACAACAUGUGUGGUUAAUUGUUUUGCCAUCUUUGUGGUCAUUUUUAUUCUUUCUAUGCAUAUUUUUGGUAGCAAUUUAACAAUUGAUUGUAGAAACUUUUGUCUUUGUAUGUUGAUGCUUCUUAAUAGUGGUGGUGCCAUGCAUGUUCUUGGUUAAAUUAAUUGAGUAUGUCCGUAAUUUGGAAUAGUUCUUUUCUAAAUUGGCAGGAAUUUUUUCAGUUGAGGAGAUUGUUGGAUACUGCUGCUAAGUGGAUCAAUGGAAGCGAUAGCCAGUGAUUGAGGGUAUCUUUUGGAGGACUUUGUUGUGGAUGGGAUUCAAACAGAACCUUUCAACUUGAACGAGAGGAGAGGGAAAAAGGUUAUUUUGAUGCAGAUGGAAAGUUUAUUAAUAUGCCAUUAAAAAUGAAGUCAAGGUAAACAUGUUUAUCAUUUUUGGCAACAACAUGUUUAUCAUUCUUGGGUAGUUAAUGUUAGAGUGUUUAUCAUACAAUUAGGUUCUUGGAGUUUACUGAUGAUUUGCUAUGCGUGUAGGUCAUAAAAUAUUUUUUAUACUGAAGCUUUCAUCUCUCUGAUUAAAUUUAGUUGAAUUAAGUAAUUCAGUCAAUUACUUAAUUCAGUAAAAGAGACAACCAAAAAACGUGGAGGUGGAGUCAAAUGCAAAAUCAUAGAAUCAGAAAUUAAGGUAGUCGUUAUACAUUUCGUUUGAUUUGUUUGAAUAGGCUGAUUUAUAACUGUUUCAGUAUUAUGUUUCUUCGCAUGCAGAUUACCAUAUGUAUUUGAGAGCACAGCUGAUGUAAGUUCUCUCUUUAUGCCUCUAUCUCUCUGUGCAUUGAUAUGUUUUCUGUCAAUUUUAUUCUUCUGUAUGCAUUAUGUUUAUCCUGAACCAAAGGUUCCUUAUCUUUUAUUUAUGAUGAGUGUGUGCUGCUUGGUCUCCAAUGAUUAUUUGUAUUUCCGAAGGUAUAAUGGGAGGAAAAAUCCAUUCAACCUCGACCAAAUUGUAGGGAAUCCAAUUAAGAUGCUUACGUGAUUUUUUUUCAGCAUGAUACAUGAUUAAGGUUUUUUUUUUUGGUCAAUAAUACAUGUUUAAGGUUGAGCUUUGAAAAUUGCAGAUUUAUAAACUAUGAGUAGAGUUUCCGGGCAAUAUAGUCAUUUCUUAAUGGGCAAUGAAUAAUUAAGGUUUGAAAUCGAAAAGUAGAUUGCAAAUGUUGUUCAUUAUGAAAAACCUACAGGAACAUUAGUUCUUAGCAUUAAUCACAAAGUGCAGUUGUACUCGAGACUGAGAGAGUGGCGUUUAAUUGUUCUCCUAUGGGAUGUGGUUGAUCUUACCCUUUAUAUGUUUAAAUUUAUAUAUACUUAGUUGAGUUAUGUUUUCAUUUUUGGAUUCAGGCCUAGACACUAUUGAUCCCUCAAAAUUUUAGCCAUAAAGCAAAAGGUGGUGACUCACGUAGACAGCUGACUCAUUUUCAAUAGAAAGGAAUAGCCAAACUAACCCAGCUGGGAAAUAACGUUCACCAAUCACUGUCUUAGCACAUUUACUUAAGUGAAUACAUUGUUGUUUAUUAUGGCCGUCUUUCCAAGAUCAAGCCCCUUGCUCAGUUGUAUAAAGUUUGCAUCCUCAGUUGUGCCGUAUCGCAAGUUUGGAUUUUUGGGUGCCCCUUUCAUGUAGCAAAACGAAAAAUUUGAUGCAAAUCAGUUUGUCUCAAAUUGCAGCUUCCUCGGUUUCUCAAAUCUCAACGAUCAAUCUGCAGUAUCCCUCAAGCAGUUUCUCCCAAACUCUUACGAUUUGCAUUUUUGCUUAUCUCCCUACACUCUUAUCAGCAUUAUCACUGCUCUCUCAUAUGCUUUUCUUUGUUUUGCUCUAAUUUUUAAAUUUAUUUUUUUGUUAUUUAGUGUGAGAAAAUGGCUUCAAAAUUGGAAUUUCCAUUAUCUGGGCAAAGGAAAACAGAAAGAGAACACCAAUAGUGGUGACGAUGGAGAAUCCCUUCUUUGCUGUGGAAAUCGAAGGUCUAUGUGCAACAUUUAGCCCAGUUUAUAAGAGCAGGGGUCAAAAUGAAGAACCAAUGACAUGGGGAUUUGUUUAAUUUUAUCAAGUUUUGUACUGAGGUAAAACUCCCCCCAUUUAACAUAGUUUUAAAUGAUGAUUAGUAUGUGUGUAAAUAGGAUUGUGAGUAUGGUUGUAUUUAUGUAGUAGUAGAAUUAGAAACAUUGUUGUAAUUAUGUGUAACUAGAGUUGUAAACUAUGUUAAUUUAGGUUUUUGUGUGUAUUAUACAGUAAAAUGGCAUUUUUAUCCCUGCUGUGCAAUAGAAAUCUCUUGAUUUCUUCAGAACCUGCACUCAGCUUCGCCAUCUCUCUUCGAUCUCUGCUUCAUGCUCUUCAAUCUUUGCUUCAUCAUCUCUUCCUCCGUGAUUUCUUCACCAGCAACUUUGCUCUAAAUCUUUCCAAUUGAAAAAACCUAGAUCAUCAUCAUCUAUUCCUCUUCACCACAGGUACCUUCUGCACCUAUUACAUGUCAAAAUCUGCUUCGUGUUCUCUUCGUGUGUUGAUCUUUUGUCUGAUUUUGUUUUUGGUUGCAAGAAACGUUUAUCUUCUAGUUUUAGGGUUUUGUUAUGUGAGUUUGCAAACCCUUUCUGGGCAGGUAUAUAAGUUAUCUUUGCACUAUGCAAAUUUUUUUUUUUGGGCAAAUUUUUUGAUUUGGGUCUUUUGAUGGUUUGUGCUUUGAUUUUUCCCUGAAUGUUUAAAAAGUCAGAGAUGGCAAUGGUUAGUUUUUGGGUUUAGGGGACUGAGAAAUUGUGUGUUGUUCGUGUGCAUUCUUCAUUGUUUGCACUUUCAAUUUAAGAGGAUGCAAUAUAUUUUCAUCGGUACCAUAUCUUUUCAGAUAAUCAAGGGAGGAUGUUCAUGAUGUGUUAUUAGGGUAGUUCAAGUGCAACAAUUUUGUGACAGAUAUUAGUUUGAAACAUUGAUAGUUUUUAGUUCUUUGACUGCCUUCACAUCUCUUCCAUUUUAAAUGAUUGAGAGCUUAAUCUAUUCGUGUUUAUACAGAAAUAAAAAAAUGGUUAUAAUUGGAAUAUUACGCUUAAUCUUCUUUUGGUAUUUGUUUUGAUUUUCUUUUGUUGGCUGUGUUUUGUAGCUCAUCAGAAACAGUAAGCAAGUGAAAGCUAUAACCAAAGGUUUAUUUAGUUCUCCCAUAUGGUUUUCAUCUAUUGUAGGUAAACGAGAGCUACUGUGCUCUUUAUGCAAUAAAGUUCACCAUCAGCUCUAGAUACGAGCAUCAUGGCAAAGUUGAAGUAUGCAUAAAUGGCAAUAGUUUUGGCCUCAACUGGAAGUUGUAGCGAGUGUAACUAUAUUGGGACAUGUAAUGAGAAGAAAUGUUUAAGUAGCUGUGGGGAGGUAAUAAACAUGUUUACUUCUGGCCUAUGCUUACUCUAAGAUAAUUGCCAAAUUGGUUAAUUACACACGAGGCUAAAAACUUAUGGCCAACUAACCUUAUCUUAAUGCUUUAAUAGGCUACUUUGUUUCCAAUCUUGCUUAAAAUUGAAGAAUGACUAUUCUUGCAGAGUUGUAUUGAACAGAACAACUAUCCUCGGGGUAGCUGUAACACCUGAUGAGAAUUUUGAAGGUGAUCCAAUCGGAGGCCAGUUGUAGCUAAUGAUUCUCAAUUUCUCGAGUACAGCAGUAAAGGUCUUCUAUCUUCAUUUCUCAUUGACAUUUUUUUUCCUUGACAACAUAGUUCACAAGGCUUUUAGCCUGUUAUUAUUAUUGGAAUUAGAUUACAAUACUUGCAAUAAUUUUGGCAAGGAAUCAGUUGACAGUGUGGGGUUCAUGGAGUUUGGAUUCAGCAUUCUCUGAAAUUAGCCAAGGAAUGGAAAUUUUAUUGGUUUGAUUAGUAAUUUGGUAUGUUCUUUUUAUUUUUAUUUUUUUUUUGGGAAACUAAUUUGGUAUGUUCUUUAAAUUCUAUAAUUAUGAGAGAAACAGAGAUCAUCGUAUUAUAUAUUUUAUCAACAUUUAACAUUUAUGAUUGUGAACUAUCUUUGUAUGUUUAUCAAUUUAUUCUUUAUGAUUUUCAGUUUCCUAAAUGAAGUUUGACAUCUAUGAAAUUUAACAAUUGAUCUUCCUUUGCAUUCUUGCAUUUGAACUCCAAGUUAGUUUAUGCUAAAUGCUAUUUAACAAUUUAGAGAAAAGGUUUCAAUUAAUUGUCAUGCAAUGCAGCUGCAAAUUUGAUGAUUUAGAAUUAGCUUAUCCAUCUUCCAUUUGAUUUAUAAUCCUGCAGCAACGCGCGGGCAACAAUUUCUAGUAGCAUCGAAUUGGCAAAAAUAAAAUGGUUGUUUUUCGCUGUGUUUGUAAUUGAUUAGUUGGUGCAAUGAAACUUAUCUUAGGGUUUUUAUAAAGGGUGAUGCUAAAGAGACCAUUUAUUUGAACUAUAUUUUGUAGACCAAAUGAUGUGGCGUUUAAUGGUUGAAUUCCAUCUUUAAGUUACACAAAAAAAACCUAAAAUUAAAAAAAUUAACCAUCAAUUAAAACAUUAUAUGGUCUUCAAAAUAUCAUCUAUAUAAUUAAGUACCUUAUCUUUCACGUAGGUGGUAAGGGACGGAUCAUCUAUUUGAUUGGGCUAGAUAGUUUGAUUUUGUGCUUAAGAGUAAUUAAGGGACUUAAUUGUAAUUAAAAAAAAUAGAGUGGUACAUACCAAAAGCAGUAAUUUCAUCACAACGACCAACCAACUUCCUCCCAACUCCUACCACACGUAUAUGCGCAUUUUCUUCUGUAGUUCGGUGCACAUUGGGUAAUGUGUUUCUCACUGUCAUGUUAAGGAGACCUAAUUUUUAAAUCAAAUUGUGUAAACUAUAUUAUGUAGUUGUUGAUAAUUAAAUUAUUAAUGAAGUAUCGAUUAACGUGCUUAUCUUAUUAGUAAUACAUCAUUUGGUUCAAAAAUUUAGUCUCCCUAAUAUUAUCAUUCUCACUAUAUAUUUACUAGCAAGAAUAUAUAUCAAGGAAAAUACAUGGUUGCUUUUUUUUUUUUUUUUUUUUUUUUUUUUUUUUUUUUUUGUGGUUCAAUACAUGGUUGCUUAUAUAACUUUGCACAAUGGAGUAUGGUUAUACUUUCUUUCAUUUGUAAAUGGAAUGUAUUGACUAUAGGUUCGACUCUUUUACAUGAUGAAUUCAAAACUAAAUUAUUAUGAUCGAUCAAUUGUAAGACUCGUCCAAAAUAUCUAUUACCAUUUAAGAUAGAGCAUCGUUGUAUAAAAAAAAAAUCAUUCUUGAUUACAGAUAAAUCAUAAUUUGAGUUGUGUUCCGACUAAUUUUUCAAUACCUUUAAAAUAUAAGGAAUACUUCAAGCUUAUAAUUCGUCGCCAUGAUUGAGGUAACAAGUAAUUAAACACGUAAAUGUUGCCACAACAUUUGUUUACCACAACAUUUGUUUACCACCAUACCCUUCGUUCACACGUAUUCUUUCUUAAUUUUUCUCUAUAUAAGCACCACCAUAGUGCCUUUACAACUCACUAGCUACACGAGUCUUCAAAUCAAGUUCUUUCACAUCCAUUACUCAUACACACUUUGGUAAUCCACAUCCUAAUUAAUUCGUUAUGGCUAGCUCUGCAGUGAUCAAGCUUGCUUUGGUGGUGGCCUUGUGCAUGGCGGUGAGCGUUGCGCAUGCCAUAACAUGUGGCCAGGUGAGCUCCAACCUUGCACCAUGCAUUGGCUACCUGAGGGGUGGCGGACCUGUCCCUCCAGCUUGCUGCAAUGGAAUCAGAACCAUUAACAGCUUGGCCGAGACCAC